UUUCCUUUUAUUGAACCUCACCAUUUCUGGCAUCUCAACUUUCCCUACACUGUACUUCCAAUUGAGCCUGUCUUCUUUAGCCAGCAAGAGAACUAUCGGAAUCACUCUCAGCUGCUCAAGCCAGCAUCACUAGUUCCAGAAUCGUUGGUAACCAGUGGCCUCUGGGAGAAGGUAGCCGUGUCCUCAGGCCAGACAUGAAGAGCCUAAUCAGACAAGAAAGAAGAGGAUGCUGAGGGAGGCCUGGAGGAAGUUCAGCCUAGAGUUAACAUCUGCCACCAAUCCUCUUUUUGCUGAAGAAGACUGGCCCUGAGCUAACAUGCAUGACCAUCUUCCUCUACUUUAUAUGUGAGAUGUGCCACAGCAUAGCUUGACAAGUGGUGUGUAGGUCUGCACCCAGGAUCCGAAUUGGCGAAUGCUGGGCUGCUGCAGCGGACCACGCGAACUUAACCACUGUGCCACCAGGCCAGCCUUGUCAUUUAUUUUUUCAUUGUUUUUUCAAUAUUUUAUUAUGAGAAUUUGUAAACAUACAGCGAAGUUGAAGUUUUAUGUUUUUAUGAUAAUAUUUUACAUACAUCCCCAGCAUAGAUUCUACAAUUGAUCUUUUACUGCAUUUACUUUAUCACAGACCUGUCUAUUCAUUCAGCCAUUUGUCACAUCAAUCCAUCUUUUAGGUGUGUGUAUUUCUGCCAGAUAUUUUAGAUUCUGACAAUUUUGCCCCAUAGCAUAAGAGGAAAUAAAACCAGAUUUGCUGCAAAGAAACAAAGAAAGAGAAUCAUGCUGGAUUUUAAAAUUCAAGUCUUAUAGAUGUGUGGGGAAGGGGCACAUUUAAGAAAAUAAUGGAGGGUAAAAAAAUUAGCUAGCAACUUAGGAACUAGAGGAAGUCCUUUGACAUUAUGAAGUGUGUCAAAAAGAUCACUGCAUUCCCAAAGAUUGCCAAACAAUUGCACGGAAAGAAGCUAAAGGUAAAGGAACUAUGGCCCAAGGAAUGCACGAUUUCAGGGAUCUGAAGAGAAUGGAAGAGCGUCUGCCAGUUUUGGAUGCCAGGAGCAUGUCUCCAAAAGGAUAGUAUCAGAAGAACCUGGAACUGUGUGCCCAUUUCCAGGAACGUCUCCCAAGCACAGAACAGGGAAUGCUGCGAUACCACAUUUUAAUCGUCUAUUCCCCUAAUGCAAAGAAUGAGGCAACAAAUGUCCCUUAACAUUUCUCUUUGUCUGUGAGUGUGAGCUUCUCCAAGAGAGUGGUCUUUGUGCUAGUUCUCUAGGGCUCCUGUAAGAAAGUACCACAGGCCGGAUGGCUGAAACAACUCGAAUUUAUUUCUCCCAGUUCUGGAGGCUAGAAUUUUGAGAUCAAGGUGUUGGCAGGGAUGGUUCCUUCUGAGGAUUGUGAGGGAGAGUCUGUUCCAGGCUUCCCUUGGCUUGUAGAUAGCUGUCUUCUCAUUGUGUCUCUACAUUGUCUUUCCUCUGUCUCUGUGUCCAAAUUUCCCUUUUUAUAAGAACACCAAAUGUAUUGGAUUAGGGCCCACCCUAAUGACCUUAUUUUAACUUGAUUACAUCCGGAAAGGGCCUAUCUCCAAAUUCAGUCACAUUCUGAGGUACUGGGGUUGAGACUUCAAUGCGUGAAUGUUGGAGCAGACAAAAUACAACCCGUAGUCUUCAAAUUUAUUUCUUGCAUAACCCGAAAAAGAAUUUGGAAAAACUGUGUACCCUUCACACAGUUUAAUAUUGACACUUAACAAUUUAAAUCAUAGAUUUAAACAGUUCCAAAGGAUAAAAUUUUUGUCGUGUAAAUAUUGAUGUCAAAAUUUGGCGUCAAAAUAAAACGGUUACUCUUUUAAGGGUGUCCAAAGGAAUCUAAAUACCAUAACAAUUUGAUUCAAUAAUUAUAAUCUAUUUAAAAAUGCCUGCGUAAUUUCCAAUGGAAAUUUUAUAUCUUUCCUUUUUUUGCUUUCCAUUCCAAUUCUCCCACAGAAUUUUACCUUCAUGUAACAUAUUUUAAUACCAGAAAGUCUCUUUUUUGACCACCCCAUUAUGCUUCUCUUUGACAAAACUGUGCAUGGAAAUUGAAAUUUUGAAAUAUGUUUUAUUUCUUGGGAUCAUAAGGUUGUAAGUGUUAUUUAAACUUCCUUCUAGGUUGAGUUGUUGCCAUUGUUAUUGUUAAAUGAUGAUCAAGACAAUGAAACUACUUUAUAAAAUUAUUAUUUUGUAAUUUAUUAAACAGAAAAAAUAAGAUUUUAUUGAAAAUGUUUCUCUUGCAAUGAUACAAAUGAUGUCCCUCCCUCCAAUUAGCUCACGUAUCCAUUGACGAAUGACUUAAUGUUAGAACCGUGCAGAUUCUGUGUGAAGUUUAUCCCUGCCCUCACCCCUUUAUAGAAGUAACUGCUGAGAAAACUUAUUCAUAGUAAUAAAUAAAUGGGAAUGAAAGGUGUUUAUUAUAGCAAUUUCAUCCAAUUCUUUGAGUUCUACCCAAAUUCUAUGCCAAAUAUCACCUGGAAAUUUAUUAUAAAAAUUAUUUUUAGUACUCUCUCUGCUAAAAAUUCUAUUAAAUUCUUCUUUUAGUGAAAGUUGAAAACCACCCAACACACAAAAGACCUGUUACCCAGUUAUGAGAGUGACUCAGAGCCUCAAGUUCUGGGAGGCACACCUGACUUACCAAACAGCUCUUAGUUCCCUGUGUUGCUCUUUCACUAAAGCACCUUGUUUAGAACAGGUUGGUGUCUUAGCUUGGGUUCCUCCCAAAACAAACUCUAAGAUGAGGUCUUGAGUUCAAGAAAUUUAUCUGAGAGUUGAUCCCAGAAAGAACAUCCUAAUGGGGACCUUCUGAGUAUCCCGUAGAAUGCACCUCAGAACUGUCGCACUAAAGAACAAGGACGUUGGGAAUUUAUGCACUUUCAGUCCCUGCCCUUGUACCUGGCUGAAUACCAGAGACAGCCCUCCUUGGGCAGAGAAGCAGAAAGACUUGGGCCCUUACCACUAGAAGGUGCAGUGAACUCAGAGGUGGGCCCUUAGGAUAUACAGCGGGACAUCAAAAAUAUCUGUAGUAGGUGAAAUAUAGAAACAUUGUUAAUUUACUGAUAAAAAUAUUUAUCUUAUCAUAUUUUAAAAUAUAUUUUCAUCAAAACCUGAAGCUGCAGAUGUAUUUCAUUUAAUUCAUAAAAAGUCUCCUCCCUAUAUUGACAAAAUGAAUAUACUUUGUUAAAUCUAUCAGUUUAACAUCAUUUUUAAUUCAAAUAAAU
Molecule: long non-coding RNA, 3232 nt
Filed under: Equus asinus (donkey)
Lineage: Eukaryota; Metazoa; Chordata; Mammalia; Perissodactyla; Equidae
Description: lncRNA (ENSEASG00005025349.1)
Source: RNAcentral